GGAGAAGAUUCCAUGGGAAGGAGAGUUCACCGUUAGAAGCGAUCCGUGAGCUGGGUUAAUAGCGUCCAGCGGCAGUUU
RNAcentral lists this ribosomal RNA (78 nucleotides) under Scrippsiella trochoidea. RNAcentral describes it as "partial Bacterial large subunit ribosomal RNA". Lineage: Eukaryota; Dinophyceae; Peridiniales; Peridiniaceae. The record is from RNAcentral.